This 1234-nucleotide long non-coding RNA is filed under the name Equus caballus (horse). RNAcentral describes it as "lncRNA (ENSECAG00000059017.1)". The record is from RNAcentral. Lineage: Eukaryota; Metazoa; Chordata; Mammalia; Perissodactyla; Equidae.
AGAACAGAGCACUCUGACCUAUUUCAAAAUGGUUCCUUUUCCCUUCUCCUUGCAGGAAGCAGGAAGGGAUUUUUUUCUCACAUAUUUACUGUGCGAACCUGGCCGAGCUCCUGGAGAUAUAUCUCACAGUAUUGUGGGGAGCCCUCUUAUGACUGCCUCUUCCUGGAGUUUUUAAUUCUCAGAGUUGUAUACCCUGAGCCUUCAGCAACUUGUCGAUUAUAGCUCCAGUUUUUCUAUUCUGUACUUGUUCCAAUGGGAGUUUCUGCUGUUGAGUCUCUGCUUUGUUUGAAAUAAUUUCAAGCCUACAAAUAGUCCUGAGAAUUAUCAAAGAAAUACAAACCAGCCUUUCAGAAUCUGGAUAAACUAUGAAAUCCUGCAUUAUACAGAAUGUCAAACAGACAUAAAAGCCAGCAGAGCAUCAACUGUGGAGCUUAGGAAUCAUCUCAGAAAGAAGUUUACAAUGAAAAUCUUGCUGAGUCCAGAGUCUGAAAGAACUGAAGACUACGGUCGUUUUGACCACAGGAGGAGUCAUUGUCUGAGCCAAAGGACCAUGGGGGCAACUUUGAACCAGGAUAAGUACGAAAGUUGACUAAUACUCAAACUGAUGAGGAGCUCCCUAGCUGCUUUCACCACUGCGGGUACAACAAGAAGUCUGCAACUCAGAAGAGGGCCAUCACCUGACCAUGUCGGCACCCUGAUCUUGGACUUCCCAGCCCCCAGAACACUUCCCAGAGGUGAAAACAUUCUUGCAGUCUUGAUUAAGGAAUGCAGAUCUUUACACAAUGGUUACUUUAAAUGUUUCGACUGCAAGAAACAGAAUUUUCAAACUCAAAAUUGAUUAUGCUAUAGAAAAAAUUUAUCUCAAUGAGAAAUCCAAAAUCAUGCUGAGUGCUAGGAUCUUGGCCUCUGGAUUUGUCUGCCUCAAUAGUUCUCCAGGCCCAUCAACCAGAAAGUCCUCAAGGUCAGAGGAUCUCUGAUGGGAGCAAAUGUUCUUCAAGUACUGUGAUCUUGGGAGCCAUAGUAAUUGUUCAGUUACUUGGCAUGGAAGUCAUAAUUGUCAUGGACAAAAGAAGCACCAAUUUCAAGUGGACCAUAAAAAUGCAGGCAAGAGUAACAACGUUUUAAUUUCUCUUUGGGAGAAAUUUACCCCUUGUAAGCAAGUUGGAAAGAAGAGUUAGGAGAUUUAAUUUUCCUGAAACUGAUUUUGCAUAAUAAACAAACAAACAAAAGAUAA